UAUCAAUAAGCGGAGGAAAAGAAACCAACAGGGAUUGCCUCAGUAACGGCGAGUGAAGCGGCAACAGCUCAAAUUUGAAAUCUGGCGUCCGCCCGAGUUGUAAUUUGCAGAGGAUGCUUCGGGGCCGCGGCCGAUCUAAGUCCUUUGGAACAGGGCGUCAUAGAGGGUGAGAAUCCCGUAUGUGACCGGCUGGCACCCCACACGUAGCUCCUUCGACGAGUCGAGUUGUUUGGGAAUGCAGCUCUAAAUGGGAGGUAAAUUUCUUCUAAAGCUAAAUACCGGCCAGAGACCGAUAGCGCACAAGUAGAGUGAUCGAAAGAUGAAAAGCACUUUGGAAAGAGAGUCAAACAGCACGUGAAAUUGUUGAAAGGGAAGCGCAUGCAACCAGACUUGUCGGCGGUGUUCCCCCGGUCUUCUGACCGGGUCACUCGCCGCCGGCAGGCCAGCAUCGUUUGCGACCGCCGGAGAAAGGCGCGGGGAAUGUGGCUCCUCGGAGUGUUAUAGCCCCGCGCACAAUACGGUGCGUCGCGAGCGAGG
This 537-nucleotide ribosomal RNA is filed under the name Pseudocercospora sp. 61fb. RNAcentral describes it as "eukaryotic LSU rRNA". It matches the Rfam family "Eukaryotic large subunit ribosomal RNA", at positions 41 to 590 of the family's 3401-position model. Lineage: Eukaryota; Fungi; Ascomycota; Dothideomycetes; Mycosphaerellales; Mycosphaerellaceae. The record is from RNAcentral.